CAUGUCACGAAAGAUCUAUAACAUUGAAUUCGAAACAGUUCAUCACCAAGAGGAAUUCCCAACAAGGUUUUGAGCAAUCAUUUCGAAUAAAGAAAAUGUGAUCGCAAAGCUUGCAUUCAAACGUAGAUGUACAGAUAAGUAUAAACGUCACAUAUAAGAGUGGAACAUUUUUCAAACUUGUCACAUAGAGCGAAUAUUACAUCAAAAUAACGUAUCGAUAUUUAAUCCGUAUCUAUUCAAUUAUGCGAAUCAUACGCCAUCUCUCGUGGCGCAAGCGCUGUUCUAAAAAGGGGACAAGGGCAGUACGAGCGUGUUGAAGAAUUAGGUACCUGUUGCCUAAUUCCUUCUUGGAGAAAUAUUUACGUGGACAGAUUUCGUUUCGUUUGUGGAUCACGUAACCCCAAAACUGAUUUUAUUAGGGACAAAAAAGCGAAUACGUAAGAAAAGAGCCGUAGAAAGCAGACAUUAAGUCACGACAUGCAACGUUGCACGUGUUUGUUAUUAAAACAUUCUGAUCACUGACAAAUCGCAAGUUUAAUGGCUUUCGAUUAUACGCAUCCAUAUUUGGAUAAUCGAUUAUCGAUUAUCUUCGUUUCUCGAUUAUGCGUCUGCGCAUUAUGUAACCAGUAAUAAUAUGCGGAUGCAUAGUCGCCAGGAUUCAAAGAGAAAAAAACAGAGAGCGACUUGUUCAACGAACAGACUUUCUCUCAUCUCGACAUCCUUCCCCAACGGCUUCCUUCAAUGAUAUUAACAACCAGAUAUAAUCAAGAAUUAGCAUUAGAAGGCUAUAUGCAUAAAAAUAAGAAAGAAAAUGCAGCAAUUUAUAACAUUCGUUGUAAUAAUGUAAAUUCUCGUAUUCGACCACGGAAAUUCACCGAUACUAAUUUCCUUCCCGUUUAAUUGCCUUAGUGAUUACGUUCAAUGCGCGUGCAUAACAAUGUCAAAGGAAUAAAAUUUUGAUUACGACACAAAGAGACAGAUUUACGCACGAUUAUGAAUACGCUCAAUUAAAUACAAUUAGACACGAAAUAUUAAGUAUCGCGCGGGUAGAUUUAAUAAACGUGGCAAAUAACUUGCGCUUUCUACGAGACACAUAAAAUUCAAACCACGCUUUUUCCUCUUAUUCUAUUCUCUUAUACUUUAUAUAACGAUAGUUACUAGAAAGUAACUAGGGGGAAAAAAAAAAUCCAAACGAAGGAAGAUCCAAUUCAGUUUUUUUCGCUCGAAACGAAAAUUCAAGGCUUCGUCGAUAUAAACGACGAAGGUCAUCAUACGUUGCGUUUCGUCCCGUUAACACGUCGUUAUUGAGUAAGACUUUACUUUCAUUUUCGUUCAUCUUGAAGAAUGUCCCUGAAGAAAUCGAAGCCGCGAUAAAGAUAUUCCUAUUCGCAUUUGAAUUUCGCUCGUUACGCUUCCAACACUUCUGAGCUAUUGAAUCUCGAUAAUUUUAAAUUCUUUCUUCAAAUUAAUUCCUCGACUAUUGCAAUAUCUGUUCAACGUAUUUAUCGAUCUUUUGACUUCAAUUAUCGUUCGAACGUAUAUCGAGCUUUGAAAUUUUCUAAAUUUCCUUUCCUCCAUAUUGUCUCGUGGAAUAAUUAUUGUGUGUGUGUGUGUGUGUGUGUGUGUGUGUGUGUGUGUGUGUGUGUGUGUGGUGUGUG
Long non-coding RNA from Apis mellifera (honey bee), 1658 nucleotides. RefSeq lists it as uncharacterized. The record is from RefSeq and is a predicted model, not a curated record. NCBI's taxonomy places the organism in Eukaryota, Metazoa, Arthropoda, Insecta, Hymenoptera, Apidae. The transcript has 4 exons.